CCCCUUUCAAAUUAGCAAAAAAUAGCUUAUAUUAACUAUGCUGAUUAUAAUUUCAGCUAUGGUAAUAAAUUGGCAAUGCAAUAAGCCUAUUGGACCCGGGGGCGGUACCCGGCGCCUCCACCAAAAAGUUAUUUAUGGGGGCGAAACAGGAUCGACAAGGGUCUAAAGAUUGUACUUUUACUCGGCAUUGUACCGCCGUUAUCGGGCUAAACUUGUAGUUGCAAACGACAACUAUGCAGGAGCUGCUCUCGCUGCUUAGGCAGUGCGAAAGCUCAAUUAUGAGUCUUAGAUCUUUGCAGGUUUAAGCGGGGCCUGGGGGCGCCUGGCAACAGAAGCCCCCGCC
RNAcentral lists this transfer-messenger RNA (343 nucleotides) under Alphaproteobacteria bacterium. It matches the Rfam family "Alphaproteobacteria transfer-messenger RNA". Rfam says of the family: Bacterial tmRNA, also known as 10Sa RNA or SsrA, is named for its dual tRNA and mRNA-like properties. Its role is to liberate the mRNA from a stalled ribosome. To accomplish this part of the tmRNA is used as a reading frame that ends in a translation stop signal. Lineage: Bacteria; Pseudomonadati; Pseudomonadota; Alphaproteobacteria. RNAcentral also lists the same sequence under 1 other name. The record is from RNAcentral.